Molecule: ribosomal RNA, 400 nt
Filed under: uncultured bacterium
Lineage: Bacteria
Description: bacterial SSU rRNA
Rfam family: Bacterial small subunit ribosomal RNA
Source: RNAcentral
UGGGGAAUUUUCCGCAAUGGGCGAAAGCCUGACGGAGCAAUACCGCGUGAGGGAGGAAGGCUCUUGGGUUGUAAACCUCUUUUCUUAGGGAAGAACAAAAUGACGGUACCUAAGGAAUCAGCAUCGGCUAACUCCGUGCCAGCAGCCGCGGUAAUACGGAGGAUGCAAGCGUUAUCCGGAAUGAUUGGGCGUAAAGCGUCCGCAGGUGGCAAUUCAAGUCUGCGGUUAAAGGUCGAGGCUCAACCUCGAAAAGGCCGUGGAAACUGAGUAGCUAGAGUGUGGUAGGGGCAGAGGGAAUUCCCAGUGUAGCGGUGAAAUGCGUAGAGAUUGGGAAGAACACCGGUGGCGAAAGCGCUCUGCUAGGCCAAGACUGACACUGAGGGACGAAAGCUAGGGGAGC